RNAcentral lists this ribosomal RNA (554 nucleotides) under uncultured bacterium. RNAcentral describes it as "bacterial SSU rRNA". It matches the Rfam family "Bacterial small subunit ribosomal RNA", at positions 869 to 1411 of the family's 1533-position model. The record is from RNAcentral.
CCGCCUGGGGACUACGACCGCAAGGUUGAAACUCAAAGGAAUUGACGGGGACCCGCACAAGCGUGGAACAUGUGGUUUAAUUCGAUGCAACGCGAAGAACCUUACCUGGGCUUGACAUGUACAGUGAAAGCUUUGUGAAAGCAGAGCUCUCUGCGAGCUUGCUCAAGGACACUGUCACAGGUGGUGCAUGGCUGUCGUCAGCUCGUGUCGUAAGAUGUUGGGUUAAGUCCCGCAACGAGCGCAACCCUUGUCCUUAGUUGCCAGCACAUAAUGGUGGGGACUCUAAGGAGACUGCCUGGGAUAACCAGGAGGAAGGUGGGGAUGAUGUCAAGUCAGUAUGUCCCUUAUGCUCAGGGCUACACACGUGUUACAAUGGCCGGUACAAAGGGUCGCCAACCCGCGAGGGGGAGCUAAUCCCAAAAAACCGGUCUCAGUUCAGAUUGGAGUCUGCAACUCGACUCCAUGAAGGAGGAAUCGCUAGUAAUCGUAGAUCAGCACGCUACGGUGAAUACGUUCCCGGGUCUUGUACACACCGCCCGUCACGCCAUGGAAGU